This 505-nucleotide long non-coding RNA is filed under the name Bos taurus (domestic cattle). Its description in RNAcentral is "long non-coding RNA NONBTAT006692". Lineage: Eukaryota; Metazoa; Chordata; Mammalia; Artiodactyla; Bovidae. The record is from RNAcentral.
UUCUUUGCAAAGUUAAAGGGCAUUGGUUUCUUUGGAUAAACAUAUAUACCCAAGGAAUUUUAGGUCUUGAACAAACACUUAUUACAUAUGGUGUUUUCACUUCAAAUCCCUACAGGUCUACUAUUCAAACGAGCCUAACCAGACAACACAGGAUAUUGUGAAUAAGUGCUGUCCCUGUUUAGUUUAGGGCCACGAUUCCUUUCCCCAGAGCUUUGGGGCAGAUUUCUCUUCUCUGAUGCCUCAGAAGGCCUGAAAUCUUAAGCUGACUCCCAAAAUACACUUUCUGUUUGUGAAAGAACUGCCUGAUCUACCUACAUGUUUUCCGAGCAAUAUCUUUUUUUUUUUCCACUUUAAAUAAGUAAACUAUCAAUAAGCUUCAUUUAACUAAGUCCAUCUUUUACAGACCAAUAACCCUGUGAGUGGAUAGAUAAAAGAAGUUUCCCUUAUGGACAAAACUGAUGACCAGGUGCGAGGAUGUGCUGCAUGGCAAUGCAGUGCCAUCACG